GCUCGUACUGACAAGUAGCGACAAACGUAACAAAUAUUGCGGCAAAUGAAAUACUUUGGUGUACGGCAGAGGUGCAGAGUUUGCUGGAAAUUUUGACGGACUACAGUAUCCAGGAACAACUAGAUGCAAAAUACAAGAAGUCCGAGAUAUCUGUUAAAAUACGGGGCUACCUUCUUAUAUGUGCAGCACGAUUCAAUUGUAUUCGCUUAGUUGCUUACUGGAUAAAUCUAUGAGGGCUGUGUGUCAAUGCACGCAAGACAACCCCAGAUAAAUCGCAAAAUAAGGACAAUCAUGAGCUCCGAUAUUCUGUGCAGUAGUGCUGUUCUUCAACACAAAAGACAACGCAGGAAACAGAAAAGCACAACACAGAAAGUAGCACGGUGAUAACGAAAGCGUGUUCAGGCCUGAAACUUUAAGUGCAAUGUGUGCGCUGAUCUGAGAGGCAGUCAUACUAAGUCACAAAAAUAGCUGUGAGUUACAUGAAUGACACAGGAAACCAAGCAAACUGACUUAAAUUUUUUAAAUAUUGCCCCUGCACUUACAUGUUCGCCCCAUGUCGGUGUGGGGUUUUCUCUGGGUUCUCCUGUUUCACCCCACAGUCCAAAAACAUGCUGAGGCUAGUUGGAGUUACCAUAUUGUCUGUAGGUGUGCAUGUGUGUGAAUGGUGUGUUUGCCCUGCAAUGGGUUGGUGCCCCAUCCUGGGUUAUUCCCUGCCUUAUGGCCAUAGCUUCCCAGAUAGGCUGUGGACCCUCAUGACCCUGCACAGGACAAGUGGGUAUAGAAGAUGGAUGCAUGGAUGGAUAAUAUUAAUGGAUAUGAACUGGAUACUGUCGUUCAUGAAGUCUUCUUUACUCCGGCUGAAAUUUUAAUUUUAUUACUGAAGGAGUCUAUGCAUUGAUAGUUUAUGUUCUUGAGUAACAGUAAUGUUAUGACUUGAUGAAGCGCUAGACAUUCAGCCUUAUGAUUUUAUCACUUCCUGUGUAAAGUGUCCACUCCCCCUUCACUCUGCCUGCUGUGUGUGAGAAUAGAAACGACAGAGACAGUGAAGGUACAGAGGAUGAGGAAGUGAGUGUCAGUCUCCACAGAUCUGGGCUCAGUGACACACGCACAUAUGGAUCCUCUGAUGGUCCUGUUUCUUCUCAUUGCUGGGCUCACAGGUGCUGACAGUGUGUCCACAGUUGGAUGGGUGACUGUACAGAGAGGAGGAUCUGUCACCAUCCCAUGUUUCUAUGAUGACAGAUAUAAGGCACAUGUGAAAUCCUGGUGUAAAGGGAGUUAUUGGAAUUCAUGUACUCCCAUAGUACACACUGACUCUCGACAGGAGGGUAACGUGUCAAUCAGAGAUGAUCCUGACCAGCGAGUCUUCACUGUGACCAUGAACAAUCUGACAGCUGGGGACUCUGGUUGGUACUCAUGCUUUGUAAAUAUUAGUGGAGCUUCAGAUGUUGGAGAUCGGGUUUACCUGUCAGUCACU
Long non-coding RNA from Brienomyrus brachyistius, 1474 nucleotides. RefSeq lists it as uncharacterized. The transcript is spliced from 3 exons. NCBI's taxonomy places the organism in Eukaryota, Metazoa, Chordata, Actinopteri, Osteoglossiformes, Mormyridae. The record is from RefSeq and is a predicted model, not a curated record.